This 450-nucleotide ribosomal RNA is filed under the name uncultured bacterium. RNAcentral describes it as "partial 16S ribosomal RNA". It matches the Rfam family "Bacterial small subunit ribosomal RNA", at positions 354 to 796 of the family's 1533-position model. The record is from RNAcentral.
GUGGGGAAUUUUGGACAAUGGGCGCAAGCCUGAUCCAGCAAUGCCGCGUGCAGGAAGAAGGCCUUCGGGUUGUAAACUGCUUUUGUACGGAACGAAACGGUCCGGGUUAAUACCCUGGGCUAAUGACGGUACCGUAAGAAUAAGCACCGGCUAACUACGUGCCAGCAGCCGCGGUAAUACGUAGGGUGCAAGCGUUAAUCGGAAUUACUGGGCGUAAAGCGUGCGCAGGCGGUUUUGUAAGACAGGCGUGAAAUCCCCGGGCUCAACCUGGGAAUUGCGCUUGUGACUGCAAGGCUGGAGUGCGGCAGAGUGGGAUGGAAUUCCGCGUGUAGCAGUGAAAUGCGUAGAUAUGCGGAGGAACACCGAUGGCGAAGGCAAUCCCCUGGGCCUGCACUGACGCUCAUGCACGAAAGCGUGGGGAGCAAACAGGAUUAGAAACCCUUGUAGUCC